Long non-coding RNA from Quercus robur (English oak), 537 nucleotides. RefSeq lists it as uncharacterized. NCBI's taxonomy places the organism in Eukaryota, Viridiplantae, Streptophyta, Magnoliopsida, Fagales, Fagaceae. The record is from RefSeq and is a predicted model, not a curated record. The transcript is spliced from 3 exons.
UGACAGUCUUUGUGUAUAUAUAUUAAAAAAAAACGGUUAAAGUUAAAAAAAAAAAAGGGGUUGCAACUAAAAAACCCUAGCGAUGCAGAGAAAGGGAAGGAGGAAGAAAAAAAUGCUUGCGAUACAGAGGAGACAGAGUUCGCACGAUCGGUCAUCACCAUCCCUUGCCAGACUUAGGCCAUUAGAUCGCCGGAACCGACAUCGACAAAGGAUUUGAUUAUCAAAGGCGAUACAACCUCAACAUCAACACUAAGGGAGAGUGAUUGCAGGAAAUAAAAAAUGUUGUUGUGGGAAAAUCAAAGAAUGACAACUCCAUUGAAAAUCAGCAAAUAGAAGUAGCAUAUACGUUUGCCAAUGCUUCAUAAACGUCACAAGGCUACUAAAUAGAAUGCAUCGAAUAGGGAAAAGAAUUGAAUAGGGUACAAGAGCAACUUAUUGCUAAACUUCUAUGAUAUAACAUUUAUGUUAAGAUGAUUUAUACGGCUAUAUAAGAAUUUUUAUGAUAUAACAUUUAUAUAAUUAGAGUUUAUCUGUGCU